Molecule: small RNA, 3829 nt
Filed under: Pan troglodytes (chimpanzee)
Lineage: Eukaryota; Metazoa; Chordata; Mammalia; Primates; Hominidae
Description: retained intron
Source: RNAcentral
GCUUUACAUAUGGUCCUUCAUUUCCUGCAUUUAAAGUUCCCGAUGAAGAUGCCAGUCUGAUCCCUCCAGAAAUGGAUAAUGAGUGUGUUGCACAGACAUGGUUUCGCUUUUUACACAUGUUAAGUAAUCCUGUGGAUUUGAGUAACCCAGCUAUUAUAAGCUCUACUCCCAAAUUUCAGGAACAGUUCUUGAAUGUGAGCGGAAUGCCGCAAGAAUUGAAUCAAUAUCCCUGCCUUAAACAUCUGCCUCAAAUAUUUUUUCGUGCCAUGCGUGGAAUCAGCUGUCUGGUGGAUGCAUUCUUAGGUAUUUCUAGACCCCGAUCAGACAGUGCUCCCCCAACACCCGUGAAUAGAUUAAGUAUGCCUCAAAGUGCUGCUGUCAGUACCACCCCCCCACAUAACCGGAGGCACCGGGCUGUUACUGUGAAUAAGGCCACCAUGAAGACAAGCACAGUUAGUACUGCUCAUGCCUCUAAAGUUCAGCACCAGACGUCCUCCACCUCUCCUCUGUCAAGUCCAAAUCAGACUAGUUCAGAACCCCGGCCACUGCCUGCCCCUCGGAGACCAAAGGUUAACAGCAUCUUGAAUCUCUUUGGAUCAUGGUUAUUUGAUGCAGCAUUUGUUCACUGUAAACUUCAUAAUGGGAUAAACAGAGACAGCAGCAUGACUGCCAUUACAACACAAGCUAGCAUGGAGUUUCGACGGAAAGGGUCACAAAUGUCCACAGACACCAUGGUUUCCAAUCCUAUGUUUGAUGCAAGUGAAUUUCCUGAUAACUAUGAAGCAGGAAGAGCUGAGGCUUGUGGGACACUGUGUAGGAUUUUUUGUAGCAAGAAGACUGGAGAAGAGAUUCUGCCAGCUUAUUUAUCCAGAUUUUACAUGCUUUUAAUUCAAGGUUUGCAGAUAAAUGAUUAUGUGUGCCAUCCUGUCUUGGCCAGCGUUAUUCUAAACUCUCCUCCUUUGUUCUGCUGUGACUUGAAAGGGAUUGAUGUUGUGGUUCCUUACUUUAUUUCAGCUCUUGAAACCAUUUUGCCUGACAGAGAACUCUCAAAAUUCAAAAGCUAUGUAAAUCCAACAGAAUUGCGAAGAUCCUCCAUUAAUAUCCUGCUUUCUUUGUUGCCCCUCCCUCAUCAUUUUGGCACAGUCAAAUCUGAGGUGGUCCUGGAAGGAAAGUUUAGUAACGAUGACAGCUCUUCUUAUGAUAAACCAAUAACUUUUCUGUCCCUGAAGUUGAGACUUGUGAAUAUAUUAAUAGGUGCCUUGCAAACUGAAACGGACCCCAACAACACCCAAAUGAUAUUAGGGGCAAUGUUAAAUAUUGUUCAAGAUUCAGCACUUUUGGAAGCCAUUGGUUGCCAGAUGGAGAUGGGUGGUGGAGAAAAUAACCUGAAGAGUCAUAGUCGCACCAAUAGUGGUAUUAGUUCAGCAAGUGGUGGAAGCACGGAGCCCACGACUCCCGAUAGUGAGAGACCUGCUCAAGCUCUCUUAAGAGAUUAUGCUCUUAAUACAGAUUCAGCUGCUGGGCUCCUGAUUCGCAGCAUUCAUCUCGUCACCCAAAGACUCAACUCCCAGUGGCGCCAAGACAUGAGCAUAUCACUGGCAGCUCUAGAGCUCCUCUCUGGCCUUGCAAAGGUAAAAGUGAUGGUUGACUCAGGAGACCGGAAGCGAGCCAUCAGUUCUGUGUGCACCUACAUUGUGUAUCAGUGUAGUCGGCCAGCUCCUUUACACUCCAGGGAUCUGCACUCCAUGAUAGUGGCAGCUUUUCAGUGUCUCUGUGUCUGGCUGACAGAGCACCCUGAUAUGCUUGAUGAAAAGGACUGCCUUAAGGAAGUACUGGAGAUUGUGGAACUGGGUAUCUCAGGAAGUAAGUCCAAGAACAAUGAGCAAGAGGUCAAGUACAAAGGAGAUAAGGAGCCAAACCCUGCAUCUAUGAGGGUAAAGGAUGCUGCUGAAGCCACCCUAACAUGCAUUAUGCAGUUGCUCGGCGCAUUUCCUUCACCUAGUGGUCCUGCCUCUCCUUGUAGUCUUGUGAAUGAGACCACUUUGAUUAAAUACUCCAGGCUGCCAACCAUAAACAAGCAUAGUUUCCGGUACUUUGUCUUGGAUAACAGUGUCAUCCUGGCAAUGCUGGAACAACCUCUUGGAAAUGAGCAGAGUAAGUUUAUAGUACUUUGAGCCUUCUCUACUGCUUAAUCAGUGUUACCAGUACCAUGAAGCUGUUUCCAGGAUCAGGGAAGGACAGCCUACAGAUUCUAAGUAGGUCAGAAAGAUUUCUAGCUGUGGGACAAUAGCACCUGAAAAAUAGGGGGGCAAAAAAAUAGAAUAUACGUAUUACAUAGAGUCUUUUAAAGGCUCUUGAUGUGCAUCUGAACUAGCUCUGUAGUUUUAUAAAAGGUGGUGUUUUAGUGGGUUCCAUUGUGUUGUUUAUCUUUGUCACUUUUUCUUCCCCCUUGAACUUCGGAUCCUGCCCCUCUGCUCCCCUCCCUCUCACUCCUCAUGUUCUGUAUCAAUUGUUGGUGCUACCUACACAGGCUAGAAACUUGAGGAGUUAUCUUUACCUGCCCCUUCCUGUUACUCACUUAUAUAAUUAGUUUCUAAGUUUCCAUCUUCCCAGGGACCCUUGAAUUUUUCCUUUCCUCUGUAUUUUUCCAAUACAUCCAAGUGCAGGUCCUUAUUAUUUCUCACCUAGAUUAUUACAGCUGUUUCCUACCUACUCUGAUUCCCUCAACCCCUAAACCCCUUGCCAGUUCUAACAUGUGUUUUCCCUACUUUCAUCCUACUUGCUGCCACCAUAGUAUUCAUCUUCAACCACAAAUGACCAUGCCAGUGCCCUACUGAAAAUCCUUCAGUGAUUUUCCAUUAACACAACAUGCACUGUUUUCCUCCUUUCCCUCCCCCUCAGUUAUAAGCCAUCUCACAAUAUGUGAUUAUCACUGCGACCCAAACUAUCCACAAGUACAUUUUUUUUUCUGAUGGUAAUUGGCAUCAGCCAGUAUGUAAAAGAAGCAUGUUCUCAGACCCUUAUUGCUGGGAAGGGGAAGGAAAGUGAAGGUUACAGAAUCUGUGGGUAUAAAGUGACCCAUGGAGUCACCUGGUAUACAAUUCCCUUAGUUAUGAGUGAAAAAACUCAGGCUCACAGAGGGUAUAUGACUUGCCCAGGGUUACUUGGGACUAGAGCCCAGAUUUUCUAAACCCUGUAUUGUCCCUUUCUAUUAUUAUUGUCGCACAGUGAUAGGAUUUGCUCAGUGAUUAAAGAUUUGCCUUCUUGCCUUUGUAAAGGUGAAGAGUUCUGUGCCAGUUUUGUUGAUUAUAUGAGUAAGAGCUCAUAAAUCCAUGAAGUGAAAGUGAGACAUUUCCCUGCAGUUUGAGAUGAAAAGAAUACCAUCAUAAACUUCUGUUGUGUUGUGGUGAGAUGCGGUGACAUUAAUGUGAAAUGGAAUGGUGCCUUUUAUUAUUGUCUAACUUCAGAAGUGCUACUCCCAAGUCUUUUCUACAGGCAUCUCAUCCUUCUCUACCCUAGACAUGGAGCUUGCUUGGCUUUCUUUCCUAGCCUGUGCCUGUUCAUGAUUCCUCCAGCCUCCUACUCCAAGCCAUCUGCUGAGGAGUCUGCAAAAUCCCAGUGUCCCCUUCAGGCUUCCUGGCCUUUUUCCAGCUUUUUAAAGACUCUCCUACUUUCAUUCCAAAUAAUUUCAUUGCAUAGGAAGUGUACCAAAAAUACAAGCAAUUGGAAUUGUAUAGAUUUACAAGGACAUUUUAAUAGUUUAUUGUAAUAAUAAGAAAUUAUAGAGAAGUUUGAAGGCGUUUGACUCCCAUAUCUGAGACGGAAGAAU